AUAACGAAUCAAACUGACUGACAACUGACUGAGUGUUUAUGCUGCUCUACUGACCUCUCUCCACACUGCUCUCGCUCUCUGAACAGACUUUUCAGCUGUAACACAGAAAGGAGACACAAACAAGCACAAACAGGAAGUAAAUACUAUAACACUUGUUCUGAUGAAGUGUUUAGGAGUGUUACUAUGCACACGGUGCAGCACCUGCUCGGUGACCAGCCUCCUCUGUUGGUUCGGAUCUACAAGGUCUGUACCCGCGGGUUUCUGUUUUUUAGUCUCUAAUGGAGAUUCUUUCUCUGUUUUGCCCUACGGAAUGAAAUAUGGAUGAAUAAACACAUUAACACACACGUGCAGACAAACAUCAGUCAGUACCUGCUGGGGAGGUUCAAGAUCCUGCAGGUCUCGUUCCCGCUCAAGCGUUUCUGCUCGCCUUCUGCUUUCUGGAGCCAAAACAUAAAAACCAACUGCAGAUCCAAAGCCUGGAUCCUCUGAUGGAGCUCUGCUUUCUCCUUCACA
Cyprinus carpio carpio is the source of this 513-nucleotide long non-coding RNA. The record is from Ensembl. Lineage: Eukaryota; Metazoa; Chordata; Actinopteri; Cypriniformes; Cyprinidae.